RNAcentral lists this ribosomal RNA (275 nucleotides) under uncultured bacterium. RNAcentral's name for it is "partial 16S ribosomal RNA". It matches the Rfam family "Bacterial small subunit ribosomal RNA", at positions 399 to 691 of the family's 1533-position model. The record is from RNAcentral.
GCGUGAGUGAAGAAGGCCUUAGGGUUGUAAAGCUCUUUCGGCGGUGACGAUGAUGACGGUAACCGCAGAAGAAGCCCCGGCUAACUCCGUGCCAGCAGCCGCGGUAAUACGGAGGGGGCGAGCGUUGUUCGGAAUUACUGGGCGUAAAGGGCGCGUAGGCGGAUCAUUGCGUCAGAGGUGAAAGCCCUGGGCUCAACCCAGGAAUAGCCUUUGAUACGGGUGGUCUUGAGUGCGGGAGAGGAUGGUGGAAUUCCCAGUGUAGAGGUGAAAUUCGU